AGGGGUGUAGCUCAGUAGUAGAGAUCUCGCCCAGCAUGCUGAGGGUCCUGGGUUCAAUCCCCAGCACCGCCA
RNAcentral lists this transfer RNA (72 nucleotides) under Ictidomys tridecemlineatus (thirteen-lined ground squirrel). RNAcentral describes it as "Spermophilus tridecemlineatus (thirteen-lined ground squirrel) tRNA". It matches the Rfam family "tRNA". Rfam says of the family: Transfer RNA (tRNA) molecules are approximately 80 nucleotides in length. Their secondary structure includes four short double-helical elements and three loops (D, anti-codon, and T loops). Lineage: Eukaryota; Metazoa; Chordata; Mammalia; Rodentia; Sciuridae. The record is from Rfam by way of RNAcentral.